GAGAUACAAAAAUAAGUUGCGAAAAAUAAAAACAAAAAACAAAAAUCAAAGAGAGAACAUGAUAGAAAGAUCACACUAGAUAUUUAUCUUGGUUCAACCUAAACCAAUUGACCUACUACAAUCCCCAAUAUUUUGUCAUUGAGAUUUAAACUAAAACAAUCGUUUAGCUUUUUUUACAGGAUCGACUCAAACAACAUUACAAAAU
This 205-nucleotide long non-coding RNA is filed under the name Lathyrus oleraceus (garden pea). Its description in RNAcentral is "Pisum sativum (pea) long non-coding RNA (PSAT_LNC028387)". The record is from RNAcentral. Lineage: Eukaryota; Viridiplantae; Streptophyta; Magnoliopsida; Fabales; Fabaceae.